Molecule: ribosomal RNA, 497 nt
Filed under: uncultured bacterium
Lineage: Bacteria
Description: partial 16S ribosomal RNA
Rfam family: Bacterial small subunit ribosomal RNA
Source: RNAcentral
GAUGAACGCUGGCGGCGUGCUUAACACAUGCAAGUCGAACGAAGCAUUCUAACGGAACAUUUUCGGAUGGGAAGUUAAAAUGACUGAGUGGCAGACGGGUGAGUAUCGCGUGGAUAACCUACCAUAUACAGGGGGACAACAGUUGGAAACGACUGCUAAUACCGCAUAAGCGCACAGUGCCGCAUGGCACGGUGUGAAAAACUCCGGUGGUAUAUGAUGGAUCCGCGUCUGAUUAGCUAGUUGGUGAGGUAAUGGCCCACCAAGGCAACGAUCAGUAGCCGACCUGAGAGGGUGACCGGCCACAUUGGGACUGGGACACGGCCCAAACUCCUACGGGAGGCAGCAGUGGGGAAUAUUGCACAAUGGGCGAAAGCCUGAUGCAGCGACGCCGCGUGAGCGAAGAAGUAUUUCGGUAUGUAAAGCUCUAUCAGCAGGGAAGAAAAUGACGGUACCUGACUAAGAAGCCCCGGCUAACUACGUGCCAGCCGCCGCAGUAA